GUGAGCUCACCUAAACUUCAGCUUUUUACUGAUGCUGCAGGCUCUCUGGGUUAUGGGGCAAUUUUUGGUGACGAAUGGAGCUAUGGGCAAUGGCCCGAUACAUGGGUAGGAAAGAAUAUCGCUAUUCUGGAAUUCUACCCCAUUGUCCUUAGUGUACAUUUAUGGGGGCAAAGAAUGACCAACCAGUGCAUUUUAUUUUUUACUGAUAACGAAGCAUUGGUUUACGUGAUCAAUAAACAGAGCUGCCGGGAUAAAUCUCUAAUGUUUUUUGUCCGCCACUUGGCCGCCCUUUGUCUUAAACAUAACAUUCUUUUCAGAGCAAAACAUAUACCAGGUGUGCAUAACAUUUUAGCAGAUUCUUUAUCUCGUCUCCAGCUUCAGGUUUUCAAAGACAAAGCCCCAGCAACCAUGCAUUCCAACCCGACGGAAAUUCCGUUGUCUCUGUUGCCACAACAUUGGGGCCCAUAGUUGAAACACUCAUGGCUUCAAGCCUCCAGCAAUCAUCCAUCCCUACCUAUAGACGUGCUUGGCGUUUAUUUAACCAGUUCCUCAGCGCUACCUUCCAGAAUUGUGUUGUACAGCUGCCCAUAUCGCCAAAACCGGUCGAUUGCUGGGGAAUCCAUAGGUUCUCGAAGGCAUAUGAUGUAUACUGUAUACAACCCACUACUUGCAAGGGCGAUAGAUUGAGUGUGUGCAGUACAUCUCAUUCAAUGCUUUAGUGUGACGAUUUUUCGCGAAUGUAUUUGUUUCAAACGUGGAACGUUUUGAUUUCAAGCUAAGAAACUAAGAAAAGUUCCUCUUUAGGACCCUGAAAUUUAUGAGGCAGCCGAAGAAGAGCUUGUUGACGAGGCAGUUGAUGAAUUAGAAGACUCAGAUGUAUAUAGUGUAAGCUUUUUAGAAAUUACGACAAUUAAUACAACCAUACUUUUGGUAAUCUCUUGCAAAAGGUUAUUUUUGUGAACCGUGAUCAACCAAUUUUCUUUACUUUCUGUUAUACAUAAUAUUUUAGGGAAACAAGACCGCACCAUCUUUGACAAAGCUGCUAAUAUUUCAAGUCAUCCUUUUACCAUCUUAUUGCAUCGCUAUAUGGUACCAAAAUACAAUCUGCGCAGUAGAACUAGUGCCAAACCCAGAAUAGAGCUCAUUUAUUAAUAUAAAUUUUCUUAAUAUAAUGUAGCGCAUGUAAAGGCUUCAUCCGGGUAUUAAAGUGUCUGUAAAUAUAACAAUUGGUUUAUUUUGAGAUAAAGGCUUAAAAUAUUUAAUUA
Long non-coding RNA from Nematostella vectensis (starlet sea anemone), 1265 nucleotides. RefSeq lists it as uncharacterized. The record is from RefSeq and is a predicted model, not a curated record. Lineage: Eukaryota; Metazoa; Cnidaria; Anthozoa; Actiniaria; Edwardsiidae. The transcript has 2 exons.